GAUGAAGAACGCAGCGAAAUGCGAUACGUAACGUGAAUUGCAGAAUUCAGUGAAUCAUCGAGUCUUUGAACGCACAUUGCGCCCCCUGGUAUUCCGGGGGGCAUGCCUGUCCGAGCGUCAUUGCUGCCCUCAAGCACGGCUUGUGUGUUGGGCCUCCGUCCUCCUCCCGGGGGACGGGCCCGAAAGGCAGCGGCGGCACCGCGUCCGGUCCUCGAGCGUAUGGGGCUUCGUCACCCGCUCUUGUAGGCCCGGCCGGCGCUUGCCGACACAUCAAUCUUUUUUCCAGGUUGACCUCGGAUCAGGUAGGGAUACCCGCUGAACUUAAGCAUAUCAAUAAGCGGAGGA
Molecule: unclassified non-coding RNA, 345 nt
Filed under: soil metagenome
Description: partial contains 5.8S ribosomal RNA, internal transcribed spacer 2, and large subunit ribosomal RNA
Rfam family: 5.8S ribosomal RNA (bases 1-120)
Source: RNAcentral